AAACUUUCCUUCAGAAACUGUCCAGCGACUCGUGGACAUGUGGACAUGCAGGACUUUGUAAUUUGUCAGUAAACUUAUUUAAAAGUCAUCUUAUAUUUAGACAUGGUGGAUUAUUAUAGGAUGCACUGUUUUAGAGGGUGGGAAGAUGUCUGCAUUAUUACAAACCAACAGCAACUCUUCUAAACUUCUAAUUUCACAUAUUUGGCGUUUAUGAGCUCCUAAUAAGUCUGUCGUCCAUACACCAGGGGGCGCUGCUGCACAGCAAGAGGUUAAACUUAUGUGAAUAAAGAACUCUUAUUUUCUGUUUUUUUGUGCAAACUAAUUUGUAAUUUGUGCCUCUUUUAUCUACCCAAACCAAAAGGAGUGCAGAGAUUAGCGUCAGUCUGAAGAGUGGUGGUCAUUAAAGCUACGACCACGGGCGUGUCCUGGUGGCCAGUUGUGAUAUUACAACAGAAUCAAAGCAUCGCUGCUCAAAAAGGAGAGGACUCAGCUGACAGAACGACCAAGAGGACGCUUCCUACGACUCAAAGUAUUAUAGAGGGAAACUGCAUAGAGAGGGACGACUCAAGCUGGUAACUGAAACUACCUGGUGAGGAGAGACUCAAAGCGAUUAUGGUGCUGAAACUGCCUGGGGAGGAAUUACUCAAGAUAUUAAUGGUGGUGAAACCGACAUAAGAUGGACGAUUUAAGGUGUUUGUAUGUUAAAACUGCCUGGGGAAGGAUGAUUCAAGGUGUUGCUUGUGGUGAAAAUACCUGGGGAGGGACGAUGUAUGGUGUUAAUGGUGGUUAAACUGCCUGGAGAGGAAUUACUAGGUAGGAGGAAUUACUCAAGGUGUUAAUGGAGGUGAAACCAAUUAAAGAUGGAUGAUUUCAGGUGUUUGUAUGUUAAAACUGCCUGGUUAGGGAUGACUCAAGGUGUUUGUGUGUUAAAACUGCCUAAGGAGGGAUGAUUUAAGGUGUUAAUGGAGGUGAAACCAACUUAAGAUGGAUGAUUUAAGGUAUUUGCAUAUUAAAACUACCUGGGGAGGGAUGACUCAAGGUAUUUGUACGUUAAAACUGCCUGGGGAGGGAUGAUUCAAGGUGUUGUUUGUGGUGAAAAUACCUGGGGAGGGACGAUGUAUGGUGCUAAUGCUGGGUGAACUGCCUGAGGAGGGAUUACUCAAGGUGUUAGUAUUAUAAAACUACCUGAGGAGGGAUGAGUUAAGGUGUUGCUUGUUGUUAAACUGCCUGGGGAGGAAGGAUUUAUGGUGUUAAUGGUGGUUAAACUACCUGGGGAGGGAUGAUUCAAGACGCAAGAUCAUUAAUUCAAGAGUCACGUGACUAUGCAAAGAAGUUGAGGUUUCCCUAAAAUGGUCCAAACUUCUGCAGCCAUUUUUUUUUACUACUAGCUAACUUUAGCUAGCCAGUGAACUCUGCUACUGUUAAAACAGCUGGACGUCAUUGGCUUCUAAAUACAUGGCAAAAGCUAACGUAGCUUGGUGCUCCUGCUAUUAAAACACAUUAAUACAUGUUGUAUAUUGUCAGUGUGCUACAUUUGUGCUUCAUAUUCUAGCUGGCGCUAAUUUGGCAGUUAAUUGUUUGUGUUAGUGAGCCCGCGAGCUAACUAAAACUACAACGAGGUAAGGCUAAUAUAUGUUAGCAUCCACAUUAGCGAUAUGCUACAGUUAUAAGCAGGUGUUUGAAUAUUUCUGUUUUUGCUGUGUGUUUUGACUUUACCUACUAUUUAAAUUCAGGAAUAAAUCUUUAAAUACUUUAACAUGUCGCUGGUAUUUAAUUUUAAGUGCUGAUAUUCAGUAUUUGUUCAAACUUCAGAUUUGAUCUGCGGCUAAUGAGCUGUAGUACUAAACAAAUACAGUAAAAAUGACAGCGUCAGUUCUAAAGCACUAUUACCUCCUAAUGCACUAUCAAAGGUUAACAUGGAUUAUCUGGGGACUCUAAGGGACUGCAGUCUGUCGGAUAUAGAAUCAAACUGAAGACAGUGUUGACCAUUAAAGUUGCCCAAAUCAGUUGCUAGUGUGUUGAGAAGCAAAGAAAAUG
Long non-coding RNA from Amphiprion ocellaris (clown anemonefish), 2037 nucleotides. The record is from Ensembl. NCBI's taxonomy places the organism in Eukaryota, Metazoa, Chordata, Actinopteri, Pomacentridae.